GAUGAACGCUGGCGGCGUGCUUAACACAUGCAAGUCGAGCGGAAGGACGCUGCGCUUGUGUGUUUCACGAUUGGCGAACGCGGGAGUAACACGCGUGUAUCCUCCACUUGUCUGUGGGGGAUCUUCUGGAGAAUGCGGCUAUUAUCCGGUAGGAGCUUCUGCUCCAUGGUGGUGAUUGGAAAAUGUCGGCGGUUGGGGCUGGAAUAGCUGGUUAUCAGCUUGUUGGUGGGGUAGUUGCUUACCAAGGCUUUGACGGGUAGGCGGCCUGGGAGGGGGACCGGCCACAUUGGGACUGAGGUAGGGCCCAGAAUCCUACGGGAGGCAGCAGUCGGGAAUAUUGCACAAUGGGCGGAAGUCUGAUGCAGAAACGCCGCGUGCGGGAUGCCGGCUUUCGGGUUGUAAACCGAUUUCGCCUGUGCCGAAGCGUGAGUGACGGUAAUGAGUAAAGAAGCACCGGCUAACUACGUG
Molecule: ribosomal RNA, 468 nt
Filed under: uncultured bacterium
Lineage: Bacteria
Description: partial 16S ribosomal RNA
Rfam family: Bacterial small subunit ribosomal RNA
Source: RNAcentral